RNAcentral lists this ribosomal RNA (460 nucleotides) under uncultured bacterium. Its description in RNAcentral is "partial 16S ribosomal RNA". It matches the Rfam family "Bacterial small subunit ribosomal RNA", at positions 338 to 795 of the family's 1533-position model. The record is from RNAcentral.
CCUACGGGGGGCUGCAGUGAGGAAUAUUGGUCAAUGGGCGCGAGCCUGAACCAGCCAAGUAGCGUGAAGGAUGACUGCCCUACGGGUUGUAAACUUCUUUUAUAAAGGAAUAAAGUGAGGUACGUGUGCCUUUUUGUAUGUACUUUAUGAAUAAGGAUCGGCUAACUCCGUGCCAGCAGCCGCGGUAAUACGGAGGAUCCGAGCGUUAUCCGGAUUUAUUGGGUUUAAAGGGAGCGUAGGUGGGUUGUUAAGGUCGUGGUGAAAGGUUGCGGCUCAACCGUAAAAUUGCAAGGUAUACUGGCAGCCUUGAGUACAGUUGAGGUAGGCGGAAUGCGUGGUGUAGCGGUGAAAUGCUUAGAUAUCACGAAGAACUCCGAUUGCGAAGGCAGCCUACUAAACUGCCACUGACAUUGAUGCUCGAAAGUGUGGGUAUCAAACAGGAUUAGAUACCCCAGUAGUC